Molecule: ribosomal RNA, 2660 nt
Filed under: Salmonella enterica subsp. enterica serovar Typhimurium
Lineage: Bacteria; Pseudomonadati; Pseudomonadota; Gammaproteobacteria; Enterobacterales; Enterobacteriaceae
Description: partial 23S ribosomal RNA
Rfam family: Bacterial large subunit ribosomal RNA
Source: RNAcentral
CCGUACACAAAAGCGCAUGUGCUGUGAGCUCGAUGAGUAGGGCGGGACACGUGGUAUCCUGUCUGAAUAUGGGGGGACCAUCCUCCAAGGCUAAAUACUCCUGACUGACCGAUAGUGAACCAGUACCGUGAGGGAAAGGCGAAAAGAACCCCGGCGAGGGGAGUGAAAAAGAACCUGAAACCGUGUACGUACAAGCAGUGGGAGCACAGGUUUACCUGUGUGACUGCGUACCUUUUGUAUAAUGGGUCAGCGACUUAUAUUCUGUAGCAAGGUUAACCGAAUAGGGGAGCCGGAGGGAAACCGAGUCUUAAUUGGGCGUUAAGUUGCAGGGUAUAGACCCGAAACCCGGUGAUCUAGCCAUGGGCAGGUUGAAGGUUGGGUAACACUAACUGGAGGACCGAACCGACUAAUGUUGAAAAAUUAGCGGAUGACCUGUGGCUGGGGGUGAAAGGCCAAUCAAACCGGGAGAUAGCUGGUUCUCCCCGAAAGCUAUUUAGGUAGCGCCUCGUGAAUUCAUCUCCGGGGGUAGAGCACUGUUUCGGCUAGGGGGCCAUCCCGGCUUACCAACCCGAUGCAAACUGCGAAUACCGGAGAAUGUUAUCACGGGAGACACACGGCGGGUGCUAACGUCCGUCGUGAAGAGGGAAACAACCCAGACCGCCAGCUAAGGUCCCAAAGUCAUGGUUAAGUGGGAAACGAUGUGGGAAGGCCCAGACAGCCAGGAUGUUGGCUUAGAAGCAGCCAUCAUUUAAAGAAAGCGUAAUAGCUCACUGGUCGAGUCGGCCUGCGCGGAAGAUGUAACGGGGCUAAACCAUGCACCGAAGCUGCGGCAGCGAACGUAUCACCCAAGACAACUUUACGGAGUUGACGAUUGACGGAGCGAAGCGACGUCAAAGCGUUCAUUAAAGUCGAGUUGGCUUAGGGAUACGUUCGUUGGGUAGGGGAGCGUUCUGUAAGCCUGUGAAGGUGUGUCGUGAGGCAUGCUGGAGGUAUCAGAAGUGCGAAUGCUGACAUAAGUAACGAUAAAGCGGGUGAAAAGCCCGCUCGCCGGAAGACCAAGGGUUCCUGUCCAACGUUAAUCGGGGCAGGGUGAGUCGACCCCUAAGGCGAGGCCGAAAGGCGUAGUCGAUGGGAAACGGGUUAAUAUUCCCGUACUUGGUGUUACUGCGAAGGGGGGACGGAGAAGGCUAUGUUGGCCGGGCGACGGUUGUCCCGGUUUAAGCGUGUAGGUGUGUGUUCCAGGUAAAUCCGGUUCACUUUAACACUGAGGCGUGACGACGAGGCACUACGGUGCUGAAGCAACAAAUGCCCUGCUUCCAGGAAAAGCCUCUAAGCAUCAGGUAACAUCAAAUCGUACCCCAAACCGACACAGGUGGUCAGGUAGAGAAUACCAAGGCGCUUGAGAGAACUCGGGUGAAGGAACUAGGCAAAAUGGUGCCGUAACUUCGGGAGAAGGCACGCUGACACGUAGGUGAAGUGAUUUACUCAUGGAGCUGAAGUCAGUCGAAGAUACCAGCUGGCUGCAACUGUUUAUUAAAAACACAGCACUGUGCAAACACGAAAGUGGACGUAUACGGUGUGACGCCUGCCCGGUGCCGGAAGGUUAAUUGAUGGGGUCAGCGCAAGCGAAGCUCCUGAUCGAAGCCCCGGUAAACGGCGGCCGUAACUAUAACGGUCCUAAGGUAGCGAAAUUCCUUGUCGGGUAAGUUCCGACCUGCACGAAUGGCGUAAUGAUGGCCAGGCUGUCUCCACCCGAGACUCAGUGAAAUUGAACUCGCUGUGAAGAUGCAGUGUACCCGCGGCAAGACGGAAAGACCCCGUGAACCUUUACUAUAGCUUGACACUGAACAUUGAGCCUUGAUGUGUAGGAUAGGUGGGAGGCUUUGAAGUGUGGACGCCAGUCUGCAUGGAGCCGACCUUGAAAUACCACCCUUUAAUGUUUGAUGUUCUAACGUGGACCCGUAAUCCGGGUUGCGGACAGUGUCUGGUGGGUAGUUUGACUGGGGCGGUCUCCUCCUAAAGAGUAACGGAGGAGCACGAAGGUUGGCUAAUCCUGGUCGGACAUCAGGAGGUUAGUGCAAUGGCAUAAGCCAGCUUGACUGCGAGCGUGACGGCGCGAGCAGGUGCGAAAGCAGGUCAUAGUGAUCCGGUGGUUCUGAAUGGAAGGGCCAUCGCUCAACGGAUAAAAGGUACUCCGGGGAUAACAGGCUGAUACCGCCCAAGAGUUCAUAUCGACGGCGGUGUUUGGCACCUCGAUGUCGGCUCAUCACAUCCUGGGGCUGAAGUAGGUCCCAAGGGUAUGGCUGUUCGCCAUUUAAAGUGGUACGCGAGCUGGGUUUAGAACGUCGUGAGACAGUUCGGUCCCUAUCUGCCGUGGGCGCUGGAGAACUGAGGGGGGCUGCUCCUAGUACGAGAGGACCGGAGUGGACGCAUCACUGGUGUUCGGGUUGUCAUGCCAAUGGCACUGCCCGGUAGCUAAAUGCGGAAGAGAUAAGUGCUGAAAGCAUCUAAGCACGAAACUUGCCCCGAGAUGAGUUCUCCCUGAGACUUAGAGUCUCCUGAAGGAACGUUGAAGACGACGACGUUGAUAGGCCGGGUGUGUAAGCGCAGCGAUGCGUUGAGCUAACCGGUACUAAUGAACCGUGAGGCUUAACCUUACA